RNAcentral lists this ribosomal RNA (325 nucleotides) under uncultured bacterium. RNAcentral's name for it is "bacterial SSU rRNA". It matches the Rfam family "Bacterial small subunit ribosomal RNA", at positions 28 to 352 of the family's 1533-position model. The record is from RNAcentral.
GACGAACGCUGGCGGCGUGCUUAACACAUGCAAGUCGAGCGGUAAGGCCCUUUGGGGUACACGAGCGGCGAAACGGGUGAGUAACACGUGAGUAAUCUGCCUUUGGCUUGGGAAUAACUUCGGGAAAUCGGGCUAAUGCCUGAUGUUUACUGUCUGCUGCAUGGUGGGUGGUGGAAAGAUUUUUUGGCCAGGGAUGAGCUCGCGGUCUAUCAGCUUGUUGGUGGGGUAAUGGCUUACCAAGGCUUUGACGGGUAGCCGGCCUGGAGAGGGUGUUCGGCCANACUGGGGACUGAGACCACGGCCCAGACUCCUACGGGAGGCAGGC